Molecule: ribosomal RNA, 406 nt
Filed under: uncultured bacterium
Lineage: Bacteria
Description: partial 16S ribosomal RNA
Rfam family: Bacterial small subunit ribosomal RNA
Source: RNAcentral
AUCGAACGCUGGCGGCAGGCCUAACACAUGCAAGUCGAACGAGUGGCGGACGGGUGAGUAAUGUCUGGGAAAAUGCCCGAAGGAGGGGGAUAACUACUGGAAACGGUAGCGAAUACCGCAUACCAUCGGAUCUGCCCAGGUGGGAGUAGCUGGUGGGUGGGGUAACGGCUCACCUAGGCGACGAUCCCUAGCUGGUCUGAGAGGAUGACCAGCCACACUGGAACUGAGACACGGUCCAGACUCCUACGGGAGGCAGCAGUUGGGAAUAUUGCACAAUGGGCGCAAGCCUGAUGCAGCCAUGCCGCGUGUAUGAAGAAGGCCUUCGGGUUGUAAAGUACUUUCAGCGAGGAGGCGUUACUCGCAGAAGAAGCACCGGCUAACUCCGUGCCAGCAGCCGCGGUAAUAC